This 240-nucleotide long non-coding RNA is filed under the name Limulus polyphemus (Atlantic horseshoe crab). Its description in RNAcentral is "uncharacterized LOC106464157, transcript variant X1". Lineage: Eukaryota; Metazoa; Arthropoda; Merostomata; Xiphosura; Limulidae. The record is from RNAcentral.
AGAGAAGAGGUAUGUUGUAUUGUAUAAAGCAAUGUACGUUUUAAUCUGUUUUUCUUUUUAGAUAUAGGAGCAACCUUUUUGAAGUUGGCUUGUGGCAAUUUAGUCAUUGAAACCAUAGUGGGAUAUGAAGUAGUUGACAGAUGAACCAUCUUCUCACCAAAAAUGACCAGUAGUUGUAGCUGAAGUCCCCAAUACUUAAAGGACCAGUGAGUUGGUACAUGUGUUGGAAGACUACGUGUG